This 253-nucleotide ribosomal RNA is filed under the name uncultured bacterium. RNAcentral describes it as "partial 16S ribosomal RNA". It matches the Rfam family "Bacterial small subunit ribosomal RNA", at positions 524 to 776 of the family's 1533-position model. The record is from RNAcentral.
UACGUAGGGUGCAAGCGUUGUCCGGAAUUAUUGGGCGUAAAGAGCUCGUAGGCGGUUUGUCGCGUCUGCUGUGAAAUCUGGGGGCCCAACCCCCAGCCUGCAGUGGGUACGGGCAGACUAGAGUGCGGUAGGGGAGAUUGGAAUUCCUGGUGUAGCGGUGGAAUGCGCAGAUAUCAGGAGGAACACCGAUGGCGAAGGCAGAUCUCUGGGCCGUAACUGACGCUGAGGAGCGAAAGCAUGGGGAGCGAACAGG